CGAGAACACCAUCGACCAGCUGCGCCUGGGUGCCAGGGUGAGCCUGUACGCCGACCCGCCACGGCCCAGCCGCAGCCUCGCCGUGGGCACCGUGGGCACCGGCUGCCGGGUGACGGCCCUCAGCAUCCCGCAGGCCAGGACGGCGGCUUUCGGCACGACCCCGGCCCCGGCCCCGCCGGCCUCGCCGGGUGGUGGAGCUCCAGCACCGGGACCGUCAGACCGGGAGGGAUCGCCCCAACCUCCUUCCCCCCCUCCACCCGGGGGGGGCUGCCCAGCCUGCCCGGGGCCGUGCCGCUGCCCGGGCACCCAGCUGACGAGGACGCUGGCGGGACAGACCCACAAGCUGCAGGCCCAGGCAAGCUCCGGGGGGGGGGGCGGCUGCAGCGGGGAGAGGGGGCUGCAGCGGGGCUGGGCUCAGCCCUUUCUCCCCCGGGCAGGUGGAAUCCUUCGAAGGCCGGAUCCGGGCUGGGAGCCCCGCGCCCCAGGAGCAGCUCCAGGUGCGUCAGCCCCGUCCCGGCCCCCCAGCCCGGGGGUGCCCGGCGGGGCCGGGGGGGUGGCGGGGACCAGGGGCCGAGGCGGCAGACUCGGACGUCGCCGCCGUUGUGCCGCAGAGGUUUAGGAAGCUGAGGGAUGCGCAGGAUGCGCUGGAGCGGGCGUACCUGCGAGCCCGGCAGCAGCACCCAGGGGCCUCGGGGGAGUUCGAUCCCGACCGCGAGGUGGAAGGGGAGAUUUUCCGCCUGGGGCUGCACUUGGAGGAGCUGAAGGAGCGGCUGGAGCCUGGGGCCAGGCGGCAGCUCCCCCCGCAAUGCCCGAACCAGCCCCGCUCCCCUCCGGCCCCUUCCCCGCCGCCGGCCGCCUGCUCCCCGCGCCCCGAGGUGAGCUGGGCAAGGCUUCAGGGGGAGCGGACGGGGCUGGGGGGUGCAAAGAAAGAUGCUGGGGUGGGGGUCGUGCUUCUCUGACCCCCUUUUGCUGUGCCCUGCAGAGCCCCGCGCUGAUGGAGGGUCCCCGGGGGACAGCGGGGGACGGCGAGGUGGUGACGGGGGGGGUUGCCCCGGCCCCUCUGGCACAAGCAGCUCCGAGUGGAGGAGGAUUUCGGUGACCUGCUGGAGCAGUGAGUGCCCUCGCAGUGGGGCAGGGGGGGGAUGCGGGCAGGGAGCGGCUCCCCAAAACCACCAACUCCUGCCUGCGGUCCCCCCAGGUACAAGCACUUCAAGUCCUUGCCAGAGUCGCUGAGCCUGGAGCAGCUGAGUCUGGCAGAGACUGGGUCCCAAGAGGAGGCGGAUAGACCUGCAGCAGGGGACGGUGGCCCCAGCAAGGUCGCCUGCAGGACACGGUCACUAGAGGAGGGGGUCGACCUCGAGACCUCCCCUUUGUAAGUGU
Molecule: long non-coding RNA, 1380 nt
Filed under: Aquila chrysaetos chrysaetos
Lineage: Eukaryota; Metazoa; Chordata; Aves; Accipitriformes; Accipitridae
Description: lncRNA (ENSACCG00020016961.1)
Source: RNAcentral